UACGUAGGUGGCGAGCGUUGUCCGGAUUUACUGGGCGUAAAGAGCGCGCAGGCGGUCGUACAAGUCGCGUGUGAAAGCCCCUGGCUCAACUGGGGAGGGUCACGCGAUACUGUUCGACUUGAAGGCAGGAGAGGGAAGUGGAAUUCCCGGUGUAGUGGUGAAAUGCGUAGAUAUCGGGAGGAACACCAGUGGCGAAGGCGACUUCCUGGCCUGUUCUUGACGCUGAGGCGCGAAAGCUAGGGUAGCAAACGGG
RNAcentral lists this ribosomal RNA (253 nucleotides) under uncultured bacterium. Its description in RNAcentral is "partial 16S ribosomal RNA". It matches the Rfam family "Bacterial small subunit ribosomal RNA", at positions 524 to 776 of the family's 1533-position model. The record is from RNAcentral.